Molecule: ribosomal RNA, 468 nt
Filed under: uncultured bacterium
Lineage: Bacteria
Description: partial 16S ribosomal RNA
Rfam family: Bacterial small subunit ribosomal RNA
Source: RNAcentral
GACGAACGCUGGCGGCGUGCUUAACACAUGCAAGUCGAACGGAAAGGCCCUGCUUUUGUGGGGUGCUCGAGUGGCGAACGGGUGAUUAACACGUUAGUACCCUGCCCUUGACUUUGGUUUAACUUCAGGAAACUGGGGCUAAUACCGGAUAGGAGCUCCUGCUGCAUGGUGGGUGUUGGAAAGUUUCUGCGGUUGGGGAUUGACUCGCGGCUUAUCAGCUUGUUGGUGGGGUAGUGGCUUACCAAGGCUUUGACGGGUAGCCGGCCUGAGAGGGUGACCGGCCACAUUGGGACUGAGAGACGGCCCAGACUGCUACGGGAGGCAGCAGUGGGGAAUAUUGCACAAUGGGCGGAAGCGUGAUGCAGCAACGCCGCGUGCGGGAUGACGGCCUGCGGGUUGUAAACCGCUUUCGCCUGUGACGAAGCGUGAGUGACGGUAAUGGGUAAAGAAGCACCGGCUAACUACGUG